Molecule: long non-coding RNA, 1139 nt
Filed under: Homo sapiens (human)
Lineage: Eukaryota; Metazoa; Chordata; Mammalia; Primates; Hominidae
Description: HSALNT0264428
Source: RNAcentral
ACCCAAGUGUAAAACCCACCAAAGAAAUAAGCGCUGGAUGACAUGUGGCAGAUUUUCCAACUCUCCAGGAAAAACUUCAGAUCAACUUGUUUCUCUGGAAACUACUCACAUCCGGGGGCUGUCCCUGUCCCCUGGGACUCAUAAACGUUCCUAUCUUCAAGGCACAGUUUAAAUCCUGGCCCAGCAAAGAGAAGGGCUCUGGACCUGAGAUCAUCCAUCAUGGACAACCUCUCUGCCAAGAAAAGCCCAGGGCUACUUCCUUAGGAAGGGUCUUUGGACCAGGGCAUUUCAGCAAGAAGGGGAAAAUUGGACAUGACUGGCACUUAAACAAACCCAACAGGUGCAGACUGUAAAUUGGCAAAGUGACAUCAUCAGUAGAAAAUCAGACUACAGAAAUCGAGAAGCUUGGCAUAGCCCUUCUCUUUCCAGUCCACUUGACCUGGUGCUAACCACACAACUGCCUUAAGCCUUAAUUUUCUCAUGGAGAUGGAAAUGGGUUAUUGGGAAAUUCAAAUCAGAUAAUUUACGUGAAAAUAUGUUAUAAUCUCUGAGAUGUAAAGCGUGACCACCAGAGUUUAAAAAGAAUAGAAGCAAGAAGACAAGCUGAGUCACUAACUUGCCAGGGAAGUGAACACACUCCAGGGAAGAAAUUCACUCAAUGGUGAGUAGAAAAUGCACCACGUUCAAGACUUUUUUUUUAUUAUAACAUCCAACAUCUUUGACAAAUUACAAAUAGAACAUAGUGGUUGAUUAAGUAAGCGGUGCUAUGGUGAUGGUAAAAGCUAUCCACUAAUCUUUUCAUAAAAGACAAAUGGCAAAGUGGGGAUUUCUUUUAACAAAGAAUCAAGAGGGCCUUUAGAAACUGAAGAAUCAGAUUGUAAAGUCGGAAGCAUUGGUCUCUGUAACUGUAAUCUCCUUUCUUAAAGCUAUGUUUUCAAAGACUUGCUGGUUGGCAGACAAGCAAAACUCAGAGCAUAUUCAUGAAAGAACGGACUGAGGACUUGCAAAGACUUUGGAGACAGGAGACCUGUGUCCUGUUCUGCUCCUGACUGGCAGGGUGAUACAAUGGUACUUGUUUCCCCUCUCUAGGCCUCCAUUUUCUCAGCCAUAAAACUCUGUCUAUAGUUGAGGACUAAUUC